UCCCUGGAGGACUAGUGGUUAGGCCACAGCGCUCUCACCGCUGCGGCCCAGGUUCAAUUCCCAGCCAGGGAA
This 72-nucleotide transfer RNA is filed under the name Pangasianodon gigas (Mekong giant catfish). Its description in RNAcentral is "tRNA-Glu". It matches the Rfam family "tRNA". Rfam says of the family: Transfer RNA (tRNA) molecules are approximately 80 nucleotides in length. Their secondary structure includes four short double-helical elements and three loops (D, anti-codon, and T loops). Further hydrogen bonds mediate the characteristic L-shaped molecular structure. tRNAs have two regions of fundamental functional importance: the anti-codon, which is responsible for specific mRNA codon recognition, and the 3' end, to which the tRNAs corresponding amino acid is attached (by aminoacyl-tRNA synthetases). tRNAs cope with the degeneracy of the genetic code in two manners: having more than one tRNA (with a specific anti-codon) for a particular amino acid; and 'wobble' base-pairing, i.e. permitting non-standard base-pairing at the 3rd anti-codon position. The record is from RNAcentral. Lineage: Eukaryota; Metazoa; Chordata; Actinopteri; Siluriformes; Pangasiidae.